Molecule: ribosomal RNA, 402 nt
Filed under: uncultured bacterium
Lineage: Bacteria
Description: bacterial SSU rRNA
Rfam family: Bacterial small subunit ribosomal RNA
Source: RNAcentral
GACGAACGCUGGCGGCGUGCUUAACACAUGCAGGUCGAGCGGUAAGGCCCUUUCGGGGGUACACGAGCGGCGAACGGGUGAGUAACACGUGGGUGACCUGCCCUCAGCUCUGGGAUAAGCCUGGGAAACCGGGUCUAAUACUGGAUAUGACUCCAUGACGCAUGUUGUGGGGUGGAAAGCCUUGUGCGGCUGAGGAUGGGCCCGCGGCCUAUCAGCUUGUUGGUGGGGUGANGGCCUACCAAGGCGACGACGGGUAGCCGGCCUGAGAGGGCGACCGGCCACACUGGGACUGAGACACGGCCCAGACUCCUACGGGAGGCAGCAGUGGGGAAUCUUGCGCAAUGGGCGAAAGCCUGACGCAGCGACGCCGCGUGAGGGAUGACGGCCUCGGUGUAACUACUU